GAUGAACGCUAGCUACAGGCUUAACACAUGCAAGUCGAGGGGAAACGAUAUUGGAAGCUUGCUUCCGAUAGGCGUCGACCGGCGCACGGGUGAGUAACGCGUAUCCAACCUGCCCAUCACUUGGGGAUAACCUUGCGAAAGUAAGACUAAUACCCAAUGACGUCUCUAGAAGACAUCUGAAGGAGAUUUAAAAGAUUUUAUCGGGUGAUGGAUGGGGAUGCGUCUGAUUAGCUUGUUGGCGGGGUAACGGCCCACCAAGGCGACGAUCAGUAGGGGUUCUGAGAGGAAGGUCCCCCANAUUGGAACUGAGACACGGUCCAAAACUCCUACGGGGAGGCAGCAGUGAGGAAUAUUGGUCCAAAUGGGCGAGAGCCUGAACCAGCCAAGUAGCGUGCAGGAUGACGGCCCUAUGGGUUGU
RNAcentral lists this ribosomal RNA (418 nucleotides) under uncultured bacterium. Its description in RNAcentral is "bacterial SSU rRNA". It matches the Rfam family "Bacterial small subunit ribosomal RNA", at positions 28 to 426 of the family's 1533-position model. The record is from RNAcentral.